UACGGAGGGUGCGAGCGUUGUCCGGAAUCACUGGGCGUAAAGGGCGCGUAGGUGGCCCGUGGAAGUCUGCGGUGAAAGUCCGGCGCUCAACGCCGGAUCGGCCGUGGAUACUCUCGGGCUUGAGCUUACUAGAGGCAGAUGGAAUUCCGGGUGUAGCGGUGGAAUGCGUAGAGAUCCGGAAGAACACCGGUGGCGAAGGCGGUCUGCUGGGGUAAUGCUGACACUGAUGCGCGACAGCGUGGGGAGCAAACAGGAUUAGAUACCCUGGUAGUCCACGCCGUAAACGAUGGGCACUAGGUGCUUGGGGGAGCGACCCCCUGAGUGCCGUCGCUAACGCAUUAAGUGCCCCGCCUGGGGAGUACGGCCGCAAGGCUGAA
RNAcentral lists this ribosomal RNA (377 nucleotides) under uncultured bacterium. Its description in RNAcentral is "bacterial SSU rRNA". It matches the Rfam family "Bacterial small subunit ribosomal RNA", at positions 524 to 898 of the family's 1533-position model. The record is from RNAcentral.